UUAGAGUUUGAUCCUGGCUCAGGAUGAACGCUAGCGACAGGCUUAACACAUGCAAGUCGAGGGGCAGCAGGGGCGUAGCAAUACGCCUGCUGGCGACCGGCGCACGGGUGAGUAACACGUAUGAAACCUGCCCGUAGCAGGGGGAUAAGCGGAAGAAAUUCCGUCUAAUACCGCGUAACAACCGUUUGGGGGCAUCCCUUAAGGUUUAAAGGAGCGAUCCGGCUACGGAUGGUCAUGCGUCGCAUUAGCUAGUCGGCGGGGUAACGGCCCACCGAGGCGACGAUGCGUAGGGGUUCUGAGAGGAAGGUCCCCCACACUGGUACUGAGACACGGACCAGACUCCUACGGGAGGCAGCAGUGAGGAAUAUUGGUCAAUGGCCGGAAGGCUGAACCAGCCAAGUCGCGUGAGGGAAGACGGCCCUAUGGGUUGUAAACCUCUUUUGUCGGGGAGCAAAGGCCGCCACGCGUGGCGGAUUGAGAGUACCCGAAGAAAAAGCAUCGGCUAACUCCGUGCCAGCAGCCGCGGUAAUACGGAGGAUGCGAGCGUUAUCCGGAUUUAUUGGGUUUAAAGGGUGCGUAGGCGGCAUUAUAAGUUAGUGGUAAAAUUUUGGGGCUUCACCUCAUUGUGCCAUUAAUACUGUAGAGCUAGAGAACAGACGAGGUAGGCGGAAUAAGUUAAGUAGCGGUGAAAUGCAUAGAUAUAACUUAGAACUCCGAUAGCGAAGGCAGCUUACCAGGCUGAGUCUGACGCUGAUGCACGAGAGCAUGGGUAGCGAACAGGAUUAGAUACCCUGGUAGUCCAUGCCGUAAACGAUGCUCACUGGCCUUAGGCGAUACACAGUCUGAGGUUAAGCGAAAGUAUUAAGUGAGCCACCUGGGGAGUACGUCGGCAACGAUGAAACUCAAAGGAAUUGACGGGGGCCCGCACAAGCGGAGGAACAUGUGGUUUAAUUCGAUGAUACGCGAGGAACCUUACCUGGGUUUAAAUGUGGGGUGCAUUGGGUGGAAACAUCCAUUCCCUUCGGGGCUUCCCACAAGGUGCUGCAUGGUUGUCGUCAGCUCGUGCCGUGAGGUGUCGGGUUAAGUCCCAUAACGAGCGCAACCCUUAUCUUUAGUUGCUAGCAUUUCUGGUGAGCACUCUAAAGAGACUGCCACCGUAAGGUGAGAGGAAGGGGGGGAUGACGUCAAAUCAGCACGGCCCUUACAUCCAGGGCUACACACGUGUUACAAUGGCCAUUACAGCGGGUAGCUACUUGGCGACAAGAUGCUAAUCUCCAAAUUUGGUCACAGUUCGGAUUGGAGUCUGUAACCCGACUCCAUGAAGUUGGAUUCGCUAGUAAUCGCGCAUCAGCCAUGGCGCGGUGAAUACGUUCCCGGGCCUUGCACACACCGCCCGUCA
This 1399-nucleotide ribosomal RNA is filed under the name uncultured bacterium. RNAcentral describes it as "16S ribosomal RNA". It matches the Rfam family "Bacterial small subunit ribosomal RNA". The record is from RNAcentral.